This is an RNA transcript of Hibiscus syriacus, 2755 nucleotides long. It is a transcript of the gene named WD and tetratricopeptide repeats protein 1-like, with no coding region annotated. Lineage: Eukaryota; Viridiplantae; Streptophyta; Magnoliopsida; Malvales; Malvaceae. The transcript has 21 exons. The record is from RefSeq and is a predicted model, not a curated record.
GAGGAUCAUUUCAGUACAUAGCACACAAAGGAAGCAACGCAGUUGAUCAUUUGUUUGCUUUGAUGUCUCAUGUACCAUAGCGUUUUCGUAAUUAAAACCAACGAGAAACCAGCCUCAGCUUCUAAAUAUAUGACGGGAAUUGUUUUCCGCAUUUGGAACCGAUUUUGAUCAUCGCCGAUUACCAGCUUCGCUGCCGAUCGAAGCUAGGGUUUCUGAAUUUCUUUCCAGUUUUCAUUUUUUUCUUCAAAAAACACGAUGGAGGUGUGGCCGUUCCAUGACGGCAACGUGCACAAUCUACUCGAGAACAGGCACAUCGACAUUGGUCACGAUGUUGGUCAUAGUUUGCAGAUGCAUUCUUCUCUAAUUCGUAGGCUCUCAAUGGAACAAGAAUUGGAGGGACAUCAGGGUUGUGUAAAUGCUGUGGCUUGGAAUUCAGACGGUUCACUUCUGAUUUCUGGUUCUGAUGAUGAACAGAUUAAUAUUUGGAGCUACUCUGGUCGAAAGCUUUUGCAUUCUAUAGAGACAGGACAUUCUGCUAAUAUAUUCUGUACAAAAUUCAUUCCUCAAACUUCUGAUGAUCUUGUAGUCUCUGGAGCUGGAGAUGCGGAGGUUCGAUCAUUUAUUUUGUCCCGCUUAAAUGAGAGAGGGCUCAAUGAUGGUGCUGUUACGCCAUCAGCACUUUAUAGGUGUCACACAAGAAGAGUUAAAAAACUAGCGGUUGAAGCUGGAAACCCCAAUAUGGUAUGGAGUGCAAGUGAAGAUGGAACUCUUAGACAGCAUGACUUUCGAGAGGGCACUUCUUGUCCUCCGGCUGGAUCUUCUCACCAAGAAUGUCGUAGUGUUCUACUUGACUUGCGUGGUGGGGCAAAGAAAUCACUAGCUGAUCCUCCUAGACAUACUCUGGCCUUGAAAUCCUGUGAUAUCAGUUCUACUAGACCUCAUUUACUACUUGUUGGUGGGAGUGAUGCAUUUGCUCGUCUAUAUGAUAGAAGGAUGCUGCCACCAUUGACCUCCUGCCGGAAAAGAAUGUUACCGCCUACUUGCGUUAAUUAUUUCUGCCCAAUGCAUCUUUCUGACCGUGGACGCUCAAGUUUGCACUUAACUCAUGUUACAUUCAGUCCUAAUGGAGAAGAGGUUCUACUUAGCUAUAGUGGGGAGCAUGUAUAUCUAAUGGACAUAAAUCAUGCUAGUGCGAGUUUAAUGCAAUAUACCUCGGGAGAUGCUUCAAAAUUGAUGACCUUCACUCCUGUGCUAAAUAAACUAGAGCACCAACAACCUCUUUCCAGUGCCUUCAAAAAUGGUCUCCGGAGUAGAAGCAACACUGCUGCUAGAAUUGAAAAAUGCAGGAUGUUGGUUGAAAUUGCUAAAAGAUUCUUAGAUGAGGAGAUAAAUAUUUUCCAUGCAAUUGAGGCAUGCAAUGAAGUCUUGGAUGGACAUGGAAGUGAUAUUGGGCCCACACUAAGGCUUGAAUGUUUUUGUACACGUGCUGCCUUGUUGCUUAAGCGGAAGUGGAAAAACGAUGCCCAUAUGGCCAUUAGAGAUUGCAAUAAUGCUAGAAGAAUAGACAGUUCUUCCUUUAGAGCUCAUUAUUUAAUGGCUGAGGCUUUAGAACAGUUGGGAAAACAUAAAGAGGCAUUAGACUUUGCUGUUCCAGCACAAUGUUUAUCUCCAUAUGAUACUAUGGCAGCUGAGAAAGUGGAGAACAUAAGAAAACAUCUUGCUGCAGCCGAGGCUGAGAAAAGUAACAAGGCAAGUAAUGGCGCACCUAGGCCUGAACCUCGAACUGGAAGGGUAUUGUCAUUGACUGACAUACUCUACCGCUCAGAAGCUAACAGUGAUGCUUUACAAGAUGGUCAAAGACCUGAAAGAGAAGACUCUGAUUUUGAUGAGGAGCUGGAAUUCGAUUUCGAGACUUCAAUAUCAGGUGAUGAAGGGCAUGAUGUAGUAUCUAACAUGUUACAUGGAAGUGUAAAUCUUAGAAUUCAUCGAAGAGGUGAUUCAACAAAAGAAACUGGUGCAUAUGGUUCGCGUGGAUCUCCAUCCUCAUCAUCUCAAAAUGGAGCGGCUUAUCAGCCCGAGGCAGUUAUUGAUAUGAAGAAGAGAUAUGUUGGUCACUGCAAUGUUGGAACUGACAUCAAGCAAGCGAGUUUCCUUGGUCAGAGAGGUGAAUUUGUCGCUAGCGGUAGUGAUGAUGGAAGGUGGUUCAUUUGGGAAAAGAAGACUGGAAGAUUGAUAAAAAUGCUUCUUGGAGAUGAUGCUGUUGUAAACUGUGUUCAGUGCCAUCCAUUUGAUUGCUUUGUGGCAACCAGUGGAAUUGACAACACUAUAAAGCUAUGGACUCCUACUGCUGCUGUCCCAUCAUUGGUUGCCGGUGGGUCAGCAGGGCCUGAAGCUGCAAAUGUGUUAGAGGUUAUGGAAAGUAAUCAACGCAAAUUAUGUUGUAAUCGUGAAGCUUUUCUGCCCUUUGAACUUUUGGAACAUUUUCGGAUGCAUGAAUUUUCUGAAGGAUCCUUGCAACCAUUUGAGUGUGCACAGAGCUAGCCAGCUUCUUAGCUCUUAUAAAAGCUUGCAGGGGGGUUUUUUUUCCUAUUACACAUGACCGUUGUAUUUGGCUUGAUUUUUGUCCCUGAAUAAACAAAUACUCUGUGCUGGGCGAAUCUGUGGUUUUGAAAAACAGCAGUGUGCAAAAUCAUAAAGGAGAAGAGGAGGUAGAUCGAACUUUUAGGGAUUUGCCACAAGUAAAGUUUACAACAUG